AAAUCAUAUCUUUCAUCUAGCUAUUAUAACGAAGAUCUGUUUAAAGGCAAUAUACUUGUAAAUAUCUUCAUUCUAAGGUAAAGAUAGGAUGAAUAAAAGCUAGAAUCAAAACGAGGAUAAGCCAAAUAAUACUUAGAGUAGGGAUGAUAUCCGUAGAUACUAAGUGGAAUACUAAUAGUGCAAACUAUUUAUCUAGAAAUGAUUGACGCUGAGAAACGAAGGUGAGAAUAGGAAAUAGGA
This 240-nucleotide ribosomal RNA is filed under the name Termitomyces clypeatus. Its description in RNAcentral is "partial 12S ribosomal RNA". Lineage: Eukaryota; Fungi; Basidiomycota; Agaricomycetes; Agaricales; Lyophyllaceae. The record is from RNAcentral.